UCACAUGUUGGAGGCCAGCCUCAGCUAUUUAGCAGGACCCUGUCUCAACAUGAAAAAAAUAAGUAAAAAAUAAAAAGGGAUGGAGCUCAGUGGUGAAGCACCCCUGGGUUCAAUCCCUGGUACCAGAUCAUCAUCAUUAUGUCUCGAGCAAGUUCUAGGUGAAACUGGAUCCCAGGAUUAAAGAUCCGGGCUGGGUGUCCAAGGGACGUGUGCCAACUCUGUUAUUAUGGCCAAAGUCUGUUUGGAUGUGUUGAGGUCCCUGCUGUACCUGUUGAUGUUUUGAAAACCAUCCAUUGGCAUCCCUCUUAAAACUCAUUACAGUUUUCCAUCUUGAGAACACACAGACUUGGAGGGAGAGUCGCAAAGAUGUCGGCAGAUCAUUCAGAGCCGCUUCAGCGAGAAAGAAGGGCGUUUGGGGUCUCUGACCUGCGGCCUGGUGGCUGGAGGGUAAUGUUCGCGCAGUGUGUUCUCAAAAAUCGCAAAGGGCAUAGAUUCCACACUUGCUCAACUCAAAAAUCAGUGUGCGAGUUGGGGCAUGUUAACAAGCUUGCUUUGACUGGUCCACCACGGAUCCAGAUCUCGAAAUUGUUGGGAGUGAACCAGCUCCAAAGACUAACUUCCCCAUCCCCCCGAGAAGAGCCGUCCAAUGGUGAGCCCUGCUGGCUCACAUGAUCCUUACCCACCAAUCAGACUAGCCCUGCUGGCUCACAUGAUCCUUACCCACCAAUCAGACUAGCCCUGCUGGCUCACAUGACCCUUACUCACCAAUCAGAAAGCACCCCGUGCCAACUGUCAAACCCUUCAACCAUUAAACUGUCAUAACUGUCAAACCACCCCCGGCUCUAUAAAUAUGCAGAGCUGUUCCUCAGUAAAUGGGCA
Molecule: long non-coding RNA, 879 nt
Filed under: Marmota monax (woodchuck)
Lineage: Eukaryota; Metazoa; Chordata; Mammalia; Rodentia; Sciuridae
Source: RNAcentral